UCAGACACAGGCACAAGCCACCUGCUGUCUGGAAGACGGGCUUCCUGGACUCAGCAGUGGCCUCUGUGUGGGUUUUCUGCUGUUUUGGUUGCCCUGGGCUUCCAGCAGAGUGCAUGAAUGUCUUCCUCCUGGUGGGCAGAUCCUCAGGAAGGGCAGCUGGGCCUGAGUUCAGGGUUCAGUUUCCCUUGCAAACCCAGCAAUGAGGGAAGAAUGAGUGAGCAGGAGGCAGGCGUGUGCUUCCCUGGGGAGAUGAAGUGUUCCUACCCAUCGUAGUACCUGUGUGAGCAGGUACACUGUGUCGUGCCAUUGUGUACAUGUGUGCACUGAUGUGUCUGACAUUUUUUACAAGAACACAUUCACAUACAGAUCACAUAAAUAAGUACACAUAUAUUUGCAGCUUGUUCUUUUCAUUGAACGGAAUAUGUUAGUCGUGUUUAAAUUCACCCCCCUUUAAGGGAUUGCAUUAGGCAGCUUUUCAUUACUAUAACAAAACAGCUGACACAGAGGUUUAUUUAGCUCACAAGUUUGAAAGCUGAAAGUCAAAACAGCAGAGCAGGGCUGUGGUAAGGAUACCUCUUGCUGUAUUUCCUCAUGGAUUGGGUAGAAAUGGGGAGAACACAAGCCAGAACAAAUGGUCACAUCUCAAGCCAGGAAGCAGAGAGAAAGACUGGGGUCCUACAGUCCCUUCUGAAAGCCUGCCCUUGUGACUCAGAACCUUCCUCCAGGCCCCCCUCUUAAAGAUGUCAUUCUAUCUUCCAUUACUGCCAUCCUGGGGAACAUGUUCCCUACCCAUGACUAUUUGUUAUGGUUUGGAUAUAAAAAGACCCCAAAGGUUCCUGUGUUGAAGGGUUGGUCUCUAGUGCAGCAAUAUUCAGAGGUGGGGUUUUUAGGUAGUCCUUGGGCCAUAAGGGCUGUGAUGUCAUCAGUGGAUUAAUCCAUUGAUGGAUUCUUAAUGUGAUGGCGUCAUUGGGGGAUGUGGAGAGAGGUGGGAGCUAGUGGAAGAGGUGGGCCACUGGGGUCAUUCCCUGUAAGGGUGACACUUGUUCCUGGCUACUCCCCAGCCCCUUCCCUUUCUGCUUUCUGGCUGCCCUGACCUGAGCAGCUGUCCUCUGCUCUGCCCUUCCACCAAGAUACUCUGCCUUACCUCAUGCACAAAUCAACGGACCCCUCUGACCGUAGUGAAACCUCUGAACCAGUGAGUUGAAAUGAUCCCUCCCUCCUUUACCUUGUCUUCAACUCAGGGCUUCCGUCUCGUGAUGAAAAACCUGACUAACCCAUGAGGCACAUCCAAGCCGCUGCAGGUGUUGGAAUAACAAGCAAAUGACAUGAGAAAAGAAAGAGCAUUUUCCCCAGUAGGUCUGGCCCAGAGACGACGGGGUGAGAGUUCCACACGCGGGGUGUGAUGGGAAAUGCUGGGGAGAGGGCGUGGUGGGCACUGGAGUCCAGGGAAGAGCAGAUGCAAGCUCCAUGAUUCCCACGUCUCCCGCCCCCAGUACUGAGGCAAGCCCUGGAGCACACCACAGUGGGAAAC
This 1531-nucleotide long non-coding RNA is filed under the name Marmota monax (woodchuck). The record is from RNAcentral. Lineage: Eukaryota; Metazoa; Chordata; Mammalia; Rodentia; Sciuridae.